RNAcentral lists this ribosomal RNA (518 nucleotides) under uncultured Staphylococcus sp. RNAcentral's name for it is "bacterial SSU rRNA". It matches the Rfam family "Bacterial small subunit ribosomal RNA", at positions 8 to 507 of the family's 1533-position model. Lineage: Bacteria; Bacillati; Bacillota; Bacilli; Caryophanales; Staphylococcaceae. The record is from RNAcentral.
AGAGUUUGAUCCUGGCUCAGGAUGAACGCUGGCGGCGUGCCUAAUACAUGCAAGUCGAGCGAACAGAUAAGGAGCUUGCUCCUUUGAAGUUAGCGGCGGACGGGUGAGUAACACGUGGGUAACCUACCUAUAAGACUGGGAUAACUUCGGGAAACCGGAGCUAAUACCGGAUAACAUUUAGAACCGCAUGGUUCUAAAGUGAAAGAUGGUUUUGCUAUCACUUAUAGAUGGACCCGCGCCGUAUUAGCUAGUUGGUAAGGUAACGGCUUACCAAGGCGACGAUACGUAGCCGACCUGAGAGGGUGAUCGGCCACACUGGAACUGAGACACGGUCCAGACUCCUACGGGAGGCAGCAGUAGGGAAUCUUCCGCAAUGGGCGAAAGGCCUGACGGAGCAACGCCGCGUGAGUGAUGAAGGGUUUCGGCUCGUAAAACUCUGUUAUUAGGGAAGAACAAAUGUGUAAGUAACUGUGCACAUCUUGACGGUACCUAAUCAGAAAGCCACGGCUAACUACGUG